UGGGGAAUUUUGGACAAUGGGCGAAAGCCUGAUCCAGCCAUUCCGCGUGAGUGAAGAAGGCCUUCGGGUUGUAAAGCUCUUUCAGCUGGAACGAAACGGUGCGCUCUAACAUAGCGUGCUAAUGACGGUACCAGCAGAAGAAGCACCGGCUAACUACGUGCCAGCAGCCGCGGUAAUACGUAGGGUGCGAGCGUUAAUCGGAAUUACUGGGCGUAAAGCGUGCGCAGGCGGAUUGUUAAGCAAGAUGUGAAAUCCCCGGGCUUAACCUGGGAAUGGCAUUUUGAACUGGCAGUCUAGAGUGCGUCAGAGGGGGGUGGAAUUCCACGUGUAGCAGUGAAAUGCGUAGAGAUGUGGAGGAACACCAAUGGCGAAGGCAGCCCCCUGGGAUGACACUGACGCUCAUGUACGAAAGCGUGGGUAGCAAACAGGAUUAGAUACCCUGGUAGUCCACGCC
RNAcentral lists this ribosomal RNA (454 nucleotides) under uncultured bacterium. Its description in RNAcentral is "bacterial SSU rRNA". It matches the Rfam family "Bacterial small subunit ribosomal RNA", at positions 355 to 801 of the family's 1533-position model. The record is from RNAcentral.